AAAAAAACAAACCGUAUGUUACUGUGCCAACAUUUCACUGUCCGUCUUAUAUGAAUCUUUUUUAUAAUUAAUAUUUUUAUUGUUGUUAGAUGAUUACAUAUGAUUAAUAUUUUAUGCGUGAUUUAUCUUUUUAAAUUUUUCAUAAUUUUUUUAAAUAAGACGGACGGUCAACGUAAACUAAGGUUUGUCUUUUUU
RNAcentral lists this microRNA precursor (195 nucleotides) under Oryza meridionalis. Its description in RNAcentral is "MIR812 microRNA precursor family". It matches the Rfam family "MIR812 microRNA precursor family". The record is from Rfam by way of RNAcentral. Lineage: Eukaryota; Viridiplantae; Streptophyta; Magnoliopsida; Poales; Poaceae.